Molecule: long non-coding RNA, 618 nt
Filed under: Cricetulus griseus (Chinese hamster)
Lineage: Eukaryota; Metazoa; Chordata; Mammalia; Rodentia; Cricetidae
Description: lncRNA (ENSCGRG00015034805.1)
Source: RNAcentral
CAGGUUUUGGCCUUGACUUCUCUGAAUGAAAGACUCUGACUUCAAGGUGUAAGCUAAAUAAAAUAUUUCGUAAGAGUAUUUUAUCACAGCAAGAGAAAGGAAUCUAGAACAAGUACUGAAGUUGGUAAUUGGCCUGAGCCUUCAUCCAGUAGCUGAUGGAAGCAGAGGCAAACACCCACAGCUAAUCAUUGAACUGAACUCUGGAAUCCAGUUGCAGAGAAGGAGGAAUGAUGGGCAAAAGGGUCAAGACCAGGCUGGAGAAACCCACAGAAACAGCUGACCUGAACAAGGGGGAGUUCAUAGACCCAAGACUGACAACUGGGAAAACAACAUAGGACUGUUCCAGGUCCCCUGAGUGAAGACAUCAGUUUGGAGGUCUGCUUAAUCUAUGGAGCCUCUUGUAGUAGAUCAGUACUUAUCCCUACCAUAGGAAUGGACUUUGGGAGCUCAUUUCACAUAGAGGGAUACUCCCUCAGCCUAGACACACGGGGGAGGGCCUAGGCCCUGCUCCAAAUGAUAUGACAGACUUUGAAGAUCCUCCAUGGAAAGGGUAUAGGAUAGGGGCUUGGUGGAGGACAGGGGAGGGAGAGAGAACUGGGAUUGGCAUGUAAAACAAGC